GACGAACGCUGGCGGCGUGCUUAACACAUGCAAGUCGAACGGAAAGGCUCCAGCUUGCUGGAGUACUCGAGUGGCGAACGGGUGAGUAACACGUGGGUAAUCUGCCCUGCACUCUGGGAUAAGCCUGGGAAACUGGGUCUAAUACUGGAUAUGACCUUUCUCCUUAUGGGGUUUGGUGGAAAGUUUUUCGGUGUAGGAUGAGCCCGCGGCCUAUCAGCUUGUUGGUGGGGUGAUGGCCUACCAAGGCGACGAUGGGUAGCCGGCCUGAGAGGGUGAUCGGCCACAUUGGGACUGAGAUACGGCCCAGACUCCUACGGGAGGCAGCAGUGGGGAAUAUUGCACAAUGGGCGGAAGCCUGAUGCAGCGACGCCGCGUGAGGGAUGACGGCCUUCGGGUUGUAAACCUCUUUCAGCAGGGACGAAGCGUAAGUGACGGUACCUGCAGAAGAAGCACCGGCUAACUACGUG
RNAcentral lists this ribosomal RNA (467 nucleotides) under uncultured bacterium. Its description in RNAcentral is "partial 16S ribosomal RNA". It matches the Rfam family "Bacterial small subunit ribosomal RNA", at positions 28 to 507 of the family's 1533-position model. The record is from RNAcentral.